AUUGGACCUGAUAUCAGGUAAGAUUACCCGCUG
RNAcentral lists this ribosomal RNA (33 nucleotides) under Pythium aphanidermatum. Its description in RNAcentral is "partial 28S ribosomal RNA". The record is from RNAcentral. Lineage: Eukaryota; Oomycota; Peronosporomycetes; Pythiales; Pythiaceae.